GUUAUUUUAGUAAAAUUUAUAUUAUGUCGUCUUGAUAAGGCGGAGUUCUUCGGGAAUAAUA
RNAcentral lists this transfer RNA (61 nucleotides) under Toxascaris leonina. Its description in RNAcentral is "tRNA-Ile". Lineage: Eukaryota; Metazoa; Nematoda; Chromadorea; Rhabditida; Ascarididae. The record is from RNAcentral.